AUCAGUGUGUGUGUUAGUGGAAGCGUCUGGAAAGGCGCGCGAUACAGGGUGACAGCCCCGUACACAAAAAUGCACAUGCUGUGAGCUCGAUGAGUAGGGCGGGACACGUGGUAUCCUGUCUGAAUAUGGGGGGACCAUCCUCCAAGGCUAAAUACUCCUGACUGACCGAUAGUGAACCAGUACCGUGAGGGAAAGGCGAAAAGAACCCCGGCGAGGGGAGUGAAAAAGAACCUGAAACCGUGUACGUACAAGCAGUGGGAGCACAGAGCAAUCUGUGUGACUGCGUACCUUUUGUAUAAUGGGUCAGCGACUUAUAUUCUGUAGCAAGGUUAACCGAAUAGGGGAGCCGAAGGGAAACCGAGUCUUAACCGGGCGUUAAGUUGCAGGGUAUAGACCCGAAACCCGGUGAUCUAGCCAUGGGCAGGUUGAAGGUUGGGUAACACUAACUGGAGGACCGAACCGACUAAUGUUGAAAAAUUAGCGGAUGACUUGUGGCUGGGGGUGAAAGGCCAAUCAAACCGGGAGAUAGCUGGUUCUCCCCGAAAGCUAUUUAGGUAGCGCCUCGUGAAUUCAUCUCCGGGGGUAGAGCACUGUUUCGGCAAGGGGGUCAUCCCGACUUACCAACCCGAUGCAAACUGCGAAUACCGGAGAAUGUUAUCACGGGAGACACACGGCGGGUGCUAACGUCCGUCGUGAAGAGGGAAACAACCCAGACCGCCAGCUAAGGUCCCAAAGUCAUGGUUAAGUGGGAAACGAUGUGGGAAGGCCCAGACAGCCAGGAUGUUGGCUUAGAAGCAGCCAUCAUUUAAAGAAAGCGUAAUAGCUCACUGGUCGAGUCGGCCUGCGCGGAAGAUGUAACGGGGCUAAACCAUGCACCGAAGCUGCGGCAGCGACACUGUGUGUUGUUGGGUAGGGGAGCGU
Molecule: ribosomal RNA, 921 nt
Filed under: Escherichia coli
Lineage: Bacteria; Pseudomonadati; Pseudomonadota; Gammaproteobacteria; Enterobacterales; Enterobacteriaceae
Description: partial 23S ribosomal RNA
Rfam family: Bacterial large subunit ribosomal RNA
Source: RNAcentral